UCCUGUCAAUGCUGGGGAACUUGGAGGAGACUCCAGGACCCCUGGAGACUGGGGGAGGGGGGAAGAGGGGAGGGGAGAAGGGAGCGGGAAGGCCUUAAAUUCCGAGGGCUCGAGACCCCAGGAGGGAGCCCCGAAGCGGGAGUGACUUGCCACCUGCCGUGCUCCCCCCCAAAUCCCAGGAGCUCCUCGACGUCAGCCCAGAUUCCGUCCGACGGCCGUGCGGAGGCUUUCCCAGCCACAUUCCCUUGUGAAAGGGAACUUGCCACAAGUAAACGCAGGACUGUUCUGGUCCGGCGUUUUGUUUUCUCGUUUUCGCUGAGUUCCUUCACUUCACUUGGGGGGGGCGGGGGCGGGGGGGCACGGCGCUCCCUAACUCCGGGAGAGGAGCGAGGUCAACCCUCGGAACGUGCCCCCUGCGCACACGGAGCUGUCAGUGUCCGAGCGUCCGAGCCGCACAGGGGUCGCGGCCGGUCCCCAGCCCCGGUGCCCCAGCCCCGGUCCCCCAGCCCCGCGCCCGCUCGGCCGUGGACACAGCGCUGCCCGCGGGGACUCGAGCCCCGGCCCGACCCCGACCCGCCCCCGGCCCGCAGGAGCCCGCAGGAGCCCGGGCGGCGGGAGGGGCCGCGGCCGGGCCGGGAGCGGGGCCGAGGCCGGGGCCGGGGGCGGGGGCGGAGGCGGGAGCGGGCCGCCGCCCCACAGGCCGCGCCGGUAAAUCUGCUGCCUCAUCCCGGCGCCCCGCUCCCGCCCCACUCACGAUGCUCUCGGCCAUGGCGGCCGCUCCCGUCUCCGGGCUCGGGCCCCGGGCCGCCGCCGCCGCCUGCCGCCCCGCGGGCCUCGCAGCCCCGGCCCCGGCCUCAGCCCCGGCCUCCCGCCGCCGCCGCCACCGCCGCUCCAGCUUCGCCGCCGCCGCCGCCGCCGCCACCGCGCGACGUCCGGCGCCUCGUCCAACGCGCUCCGCCGGCUGCGCGGCCCCGAACCCGAGUUCCGGCGCUCCAAGGGCCCGCGCAUGCGCACACCAGGCGGCCGCGAGCUCGCGGGGGGGGCGGGGAGCAGGCGGGGGAGGGGCAGACGGUGGGGGAGGGGCAGACGGCGGGAGGAGACCGGGCGGGAGGGGGAGGAGAGAGUAGACGGAGUGGGGGGGGGACAGACGCGGGGGGGGGGGGGGGGGCAGGAGACCACGGGGGAGGACAAGGGGGGGCAGACAGGGGAGGGGCACACGGCGGGGGGGAGACCGGGCGGGAGAGGGAGGGGGGACAGACGGGAGAGGGCGAGAGACAGGGGAGGGGACAGAUGGGGGGGGAAGGACAGACGGGCGAGGGGCAGACGGGAGGGGGAGCAGCAGGGGGUGCAGACGGGGGAGGGGCAGAUGGGGAAGGGAGAGUAGACGGAGUGGGGGGACACACGAGUGGGGGGGACAGACGGGGGAACCGAUGGGAGGGGGCGGGAGAUGGGGGUGAUGAGCAGCGUGGGGGGGCAGAUAGGGGAGGGGCAGACAACGGUGGGGGGAGAGGAGAGAGUAGACGAGUCGGGGGGACAGACAGGGGGCGGGAGACCAGGCGGGGGCGGGGAGCAGACGGAAUGGGGGAGGGGGGGACAGACGGGGGGGGGGGUGGUAAGGAGAGUAGAGACAGAGUUAGGGGGACAGAUGGGGGGAACAGACGGGAGGGGCCGGGACACCAGACAGGGGAGGAGCAGCGAGAGGGAGGGCAGCAGAGGAGCAGAUGGGGGGAGAGGAGGCAGAGAAGGGGGGGAAGACAGGGGUGGGCAGGUGGAGGAGGGGAGUAG
Molecule: long non-coding RNA, 1785 nt
Filed under: Canis lupus familiaris (dog)
Lineage: Eukaryota; Metazoa; Chordata; Mammalia; Carnivora; Canidae
Description: lncRNA (ENSCAFG00030015622.1)
Source: RNAcentral